GCACUGCUGAAGAGUCCCAUACUAGGACGAAACGGCCGUCCAGUGA
This 46-nucleotide non-coding RNA is filed under the name Schistosoma haematobium. Lineage: Eukaryota; Metazoa; Platyhelminthes; Trematoda; Strigeidida; Schistosomatidae. The record is from RNAcentral.